Molecule: ribosomal RNA, 255 nt
Filed under: uncultured bacterium
Lineage: Bacteria
Description: partial 16S ribosomal RNA
Rfam family: Bacterial small subunit ribosomal RNA
Source: RNAcentral
UACAGAGGUCUCAAGCGUUUGUUCGGAUUCAUUGGGCGUAAAGGGUGCGUAGGCGGCGCGGUAAGUCGGGUGUGAAAUCUCGGAGCUUAACUCCGAAACUGCAUUCGAUACUGCCGUGCUUUGAGGACUGGAGAGGAGACUGGAAUUUACGGUGUAGCGGUGAAAUGCGUAGAUAUCGUAAGGAAGACCAGUGGCGAAGGCGGGUCUCUGGACAGUUCCUGACGCUGAGGCACGAAGGUCAGGGGAGCAAACGGG